RNAcentral lists this ribosomal RNA (460 nucleotides) under uncultured bacterium. RNAcentral describes it as "partial 16S ribosomal RNA". It matches the Rfam family "Bacterial small subunit ribosomal RNA", at positions 338 to 795 of the family's 1533-position model. The record is from RNAcentral.
CCUACGGGAGACAGCAGUGAGGAAUAUUGGUCAAUGGGCGCGAGCCUGAACCAGCCACGUAGCGUGAAGGAUGACUGCCCUACGGGUUGUAAACUUCUUUUAUAAAGGAGUAAAGUUAGGCACGUGUGCCUUUUUGUAUGUACUUUAUGCUUAAGGAUCGGCAAACUCAGGGACCGUAGCCGCGGGAAUACGGAGGGUUCGAGCGUUAUCCUGGUUUAUUGGGUUUAAAGGGAGUGUAGAUGGGUUAUUAAGUCAGUUGGUAAAGUUUGCGGCUCAAACGUAAAAUUGCAAUUGAUACUGGCAGACUUGAGUGCAGGUGAGGUAGGUGGAAUGCGUGGUGUAGCGGUGAAAUGCUUAGAUAUAACGAAGAACGCCGAUUGCGAAGGCAGCCUACUGACUUGCCACUGACACUGAUGCUCGAAAGUGUGGGGAGCAAACAGGAUUAGAUACCCGGGUAGUC